CAAUAGCGUAUAUUAAAGUUGUUGCAGUUAAAAAGCUCGUAGUUGGAUUUCUGGUAGUAUGCAUCUGGCCCGCCUCUUCUGAGGUGUGUGUCGGAGCGCAUCUGCCAUCCUCUCAGGGAACGUUUCUGCUAUUCAUUUAGUUGGACUCGCGAACUGGGUCUUUUACUUUGAAAAAUUAGAGUGUUUAAAGCAGGCUAUUGCUGUGAAUACAUUAGCAUGGAAUAAUAAUUUAGGACUUUGGUUCUAUUUUGUUGGUUUUCAGAUCUGAAGUAAUGAUUUAUAGGGACAGUUGGGGGUGCUAGUAUUGAGCGGCCAGAGGUGAAAUUCUUGGAUUCGCUCAAGACUAACUUAUGCGAAAGCAUUCACCAAGGAUGUCUUCUUUAAUCAAGAACGAAAGUUGGGGGAUCGAAGACGAUUAGAUACCGU
RNAcentral lists this ribosomal RNA (426 nucleotides) under uncultured eukaryote. RNAcentral's name for it is "SSU rRNA". It matches the Rfam family "Eukaryotic small subunit ribosomal RNA", at positions 592 to 1018 of the family's 1831-position model. The record is from RNAcentral.